GAUGAACGCUGGCGGCGUGCCUAAUACAUGCAAGUCGAGCGAACGGACGAGAAGCUUGCUUCUCUGAUGUUAGCGGCGGACGGUUGAGUAACACGUGGAUAACCUACCUAUAAGACUGGGAUAACUUCGGGAAACCGGAGCUAAUACCGGAUAAUAUUUUGAACCGCAUGGUUCAAAAGUGAAAGACGGUCUUGCUGUCACUUAUAGAUGGAUCCGCGCUGCAUUAGCUAGUUGGUAAGGUAACGGCCUACCAAGGCAACGAUGCAUAGCCGACCUGAGAGGGUGAUCGGCCACACUGGAACUGAGACACGGUCCAGACUCCUACGGGAGGCAGCAGUAGGGAAUCUUCCGCAAUGGGCGAAAGCCUGACGGAGCAACGCCGCGUGAGUGAUGAAGGUCUUCGGAUCGUAAAACUCUGUUAUUAGGGAAGAACAUAUGUGUAAGUAACUGUGCACAUCUUGACGGUACCUAAUCAGAAAGCCACGGCUAACUACGUG
RNAcentral lists this ribosomal RNA (497 nucleotides) under uncultured bacterium. Its description in RNAcentral is "partial 16S ribosomal RNA". It matches the Rfam family "Bacterial small subunit ribosomal RNA", at positions 28 to 507 of the family's 1533-position model. The record is from RNAcentral.